GCUUAACACAUGCAAGUCGAGCGGUAAGGCCCUUCGGGGUACACGAGCGGCGAACGGGUGAGUAACACGUGGGUGAUCUGCCUCGUACUCUGGGAUAAGCCUGGGAAACUGGGUCUAAUACCGGAUAUGACCACGAAUCGCAUGGUUUGUGGUGGAAAGAUUUAUCGGUGCGAGAUGGGCCCGCGGCCUAUCAGCUUGUUGGUGGGGUAAUGGCCUACCAAGGCGACGACGGGUAGCCGGCCUGAGAGGGCGACCGGCCACACUGGGACUGAGACACGGCCCAGACUCCUACGGGAGGCAGCAGUGGGGAAUAUUGCACAAUGGGCGGAAGCCUGAUGCAGCGACGCCGCGUGAGGGAUGACGGCCUUCGGGUUGUAAACCUCUUUCGACAGGGACGAAGCGCAAGUGACGGUACCUGUAGAAGAAGCACCGGCCAACUACGUGCCAGCAGCCGCGGUAAUACGUAGGGUGCGAGCGUUGUCCGGAAUUACUGGGCGUAAAGAGCUUGUAGGCGGUUCGUCGCGUCGAUCGUGAAAACGUGCAGCUCAACUGCACGCUUGCGGUCGAUACGGGCGGACUAGAGUACUGCAGGGGAGACUGGAAUUC
RNAcentral lists this ribosomal RNA (606 nucleotides) under Nocardia veterana. RNAcentral's name for it is "bacterial SSU rRNA". It matches the Rfam family "Bacterial small subunit ribosomal RNA", at positions 46 to 669 of the family's 1533-position model. The record is from RNAcentral. Lineage: Bacteria; Bacillati; Actinomycetota; Actinomycetes; Mycobacteriales; Nocardiaceae.